This 497-nucleotide ribosomal RNA is filed under the name uncultured bacterium. RNAcentral's name for it is "partial 16S ribosomal RNA". It matches the Rfam family "Bacterial small subunit ribosomal RNA", at positions 28 to 507 of the family's 1533-position model. The record is from RNAcentral.
GAUGAACGCUGGCGGUGUGCCUAAUACAUGCAAGUCGAGCGAACAGACGAGGAGCUUACUCCUCUGACGUUAGCGGCGGACGGGUGAGUAACACGUGGAUAACCUACCUAUAAGACUGGGAUAACUUCGGGAAACCGGAGCUAAUACCGGAUAACAUGUUGAACCGCAUGGUUCAACAGUGAAAGACGGUCUUGCUGUCACUUAUAGAUGGAUCCGCGUCGCAUUAGCUAGUUGGUAAGGUAACGGCUUACCAAGGCAACGAUGCGUAGCCGACCUGAGAGGGUGAUCGACCACACUGGAACUGAAACACGGUCCAGACUCCUACGGGAGGCAGCAGUAGGGAAUCUUCCGCAAUGGGCGAAAGCCUGACGGAGCAACGCCGCGUGAGUGAAGAAGGUCUUCGGAUCGUAAAACUCUGUUAUUAGGGAAGAACAAAUGUGUAAGUAACUAUGCACGUCUUGACGGUACCUAAUCAGAAAGCCACGGCUAACUACGUG